Small nuclear RNA from Monodelphis domestica (gray short-tailed opossum), 113 nucleotides. The record is from Ensembl. Lineage: Eukaryota; Metazoa; Chordata; Mammalia; Didelphimorphia; Didelphidae.
UUAAAACUGGAACAAAAAAAAAUUUAAAAAAAUUGGAACGAUACAGAGAAGAUUAGUAUGCAUGGCCCCUGCACAAGGAUGACAUGCAAAUUCAUGAAGCAUUCCAUAUUUUU